AUUGAACGCUGGCGGCAGGCCUAACACAUGCAAGUCGAGCGGAUGAGAGGAGCUUGCUCCUCGAUUCAGCGGCGGACGGGGGAGUAAUGCCUAGGAAUCUGCCUAGUAGUGGGGGACAACGUUUCGAAAGGAACGCUAAUACCGCAUACGUCCUACGGGAGAAAGUGGGGGAUCUUCGGACAUCACGCUAUUAGAUGAGCUUAGGUCGGAUUAGCUAGUUGGAAGGGUAAUGGCCUACCAAGGCGACGAUCCGUAACUGGUCUGAGAGGAUGAUCAGUCACACUGGAACUGAGACACGGUCCAGACUCCUACGGGAGGCAGCAGUGGGGAAUAUUGGCCAAUGGGCGAAAGCCUGAUCCAGCCAUGCCGCGUGUGUGAAGAAGGCCCUCGGGUCGUAAAGCACUUUAAGUUGGGAGGAAGGGCUUACAGCGAAUACCUGUGAGUUUUGACGUUACCGACAGAAUAAGCACCGGCUAACUUCGUGCCAGCAGCCGCCGUAA
RNAcentral lists this ribosomal RNA (500 nucleotides) under uncultured bacterium. RNAcentral describes it as "partial 16S ribosomal RNA". It matches the Rfam family "Bacterial small subunit ribosomal RNA", at positions 30 to 523 of the family's 1533-position model. The record is from RNAcentral.